UAGGGAAUCUUCCGCAAUGGGCGAAAGCCUGACGGAGCAACGCCGCGUGAGUGAUGAAGGUCUUCGGAUCGUAAAACUCUGUUAUUAGGGAAGAAAAAAUGUGUAAGUAACUAUGCACGUCUUGACGGUACCUAAUCAGAAAGUCACGGCUAACUACGUGCCAGCAGCCGCGGUAAUACGUAGGUGGCAAGCGUUAUCCGGAAUUAUUGGGCGUAAAGCGCGCGUAGGCGGGUUUUUAAGUCUGAUGUGAAAGCCCACGGCUCAACCGUGGAGGGUCCUUGGAAUCUGGAAUACUUGAGUGCAGAAGAGGAAAGUGGAAUUCCAUGUGUAGCGGUGAAAUGCGCAGAGAUAUGGAGGAACACCAGUGACGAAGGCGACUUUCUGGUCUGUAACUGACGCUGAUGUGCGAAAGCGUGGGGAUCAAACAGG
Molecule: ribosomal RNA, 429 nt
Filed under: Actinomycetes bacterium
Lineage: Bacteria; Bacillati; Actinomycetota; Actinomycetes
Description: Actinobacteria bacterium partial 16S ribosomal RNA
Rfam family: Bacterial small subunit ribosomal RNA
Source: RNAcentral